UCCCAUGUGAGCAGAAGAGGUGCACGCCAC
Molecule: non-coding RNA, 30 nt
Filed under: Homo sapiens (human)
Lineage: Eukaryota; Metazoa; Chordata; Mammalia; Primates; Hominidae
Source: RNAcentral